UACAUGGGGUGCAAACGUUGCUCGGAAUUAUUGGGCGUAAAGCGCACGUAGGUGGUCUGUUAUGUCAGAUGUGAAAGCCCUCGGCUUAACUGAGGAAGUGCACCUGAAACUGGCAGGCUUGAGUACGAAAGAGGGUCGCGGAAUUCCCGGUGUAGAGGUGAAAUUCGUAGAUAUCGGGAGGAACACCGGUGGCGAAGGCGGCGACCUGGUUCGAUACUGACACUGAGGCGCGAAAGCGUGGGUAGCAAACAGG
RNAcentral lists this ribosomal RNA (253 nucleotides) under uncultured bacterium. RNAcentral's name for it is "partial 16S ribosomal RNA". It matches the Rfam family "Bacterial small subunit ribosomal RNA", at positions 524 to 776 of the family's 1533-position model. The record is from RNAcentral.